CCGGAUUUACUGGGUGUAAAGGGCGUGUAGGCGGAGAUGCAAGUUGGGAGUGAAAUCCCGGGGCUCAACCCCGGAACUGCUUUCAAAACUGUAUCCCUUGAGUGUCGGAGAGGCAAGCGGAAUUCCUAGUGUAGCGGUGAAAUGCGUAGAUAUUAGGAGGAACACCAGUGGCGAAGGCGGCUUGCUGGACGAUAACUGACGCUGAGGCGCGAAAGCGUGGGGAGCAAACAGGAUUAGAUACCCUGGUAGUCCACGCUGUAAACGAUGAAUACUAGGUGUGGGAGGACUGACCCCUUCCGUGCCGCAGUUAACACAAUAAGUAUUCCACCUGGGGAGUACGACCGCAAGGUUGAAACUCAAAGGAAUUGACGGGGGCCCGCACAAGCAGUGGAUUAUGUGGUUUAAUUCGACGCAACGCGAAGAACCUUACCAGGGUUUGACAUCCAACUAACGAAGUAGAGAUACAUUAGGUGCCCUUCGGGGAAAGUUGAGACAGGUGGUGCAUGGUUGUCGUCAGCUCGUGUCGUGAGAUGUUGGGUUAAGUCCCGCAACGAGCGCAACCCCUAUUGUUAGUUGCUACGCAAGAGCACUCUAGCGAGACUGCCGUUGACAAAACGGAGGAAGGCGGGGACGACGUCAAAUCAUCAUGCCCCUUAUAUCCUGGGCUACACACGUAAUACAAUGGUGGUUAACAGAGGGAGGCAAUACCGCGAGGUUGAGCAAAUCCCUAAAAGCCAUCUCAGUUCGGAUUGCAGGGCUGCAACUCGCCUGCAUGAAGCUGGAAUUGCUAGUAAUCGCGGAUCAGC
RNAcentral lists this ribosomal RNA (806 nucleotides) under uncultured bacterium. RNAcentral's name for it is "bacterial SSU rRNA". It matches the Rfam family "Bacterial small subunit ribosomal RNA", at positions 545 to 1353 of the family's 1533-position model. The record is from RNAcentral.